UACGGAGGAUCCAAGCGUUAUCCGGAAUUACUGGGCGUAAAGAGUUGCGUAGGUGGCAUAGUAAGCAUGCGGUGAAAGCGUCUCGCUCAACGAGAUAAACAUCGCAUGAACUGCUAAGCUAGAGGAUGAGAGAGGUAGAUGGAAUUGCUAGUGUAGGAGUGAAAUCCGUAGAUAUUAGCAGGAACACCGAUGGCGUAGGCAGUCUACUGGCUCAUUCCUGACACUAAGGCACGAAAGCGUGGGGAGCAAACUGG
This 254-nucleotide ribosomal RNA is filed under the name uncultured prokaryote. RNAcentral describes it as "partial 16S ribosomal RNA". It matches the Rfam family "Bacterial small subunit ribosomal RNA", at positions 524 to 776 of the family's 1533-position model. The record is from RNAcentral.